RNAcentral lists this ribosomal RNA (149 nucleotides) under uncultured Gammaproteobacteria bacterium. RNAcentral describes it as "partial 16S ribosomal RNA". It matches the Rfam family "Bacterial small subunit ribosomal RNA", at positions 337 to 481 of the family's 1533-position model. Lineage: Bacteria; Pseudomonadati; Pseudomonadota; Gammaproteobacteria. The record is from RNAcentral.
UCCUACGGGAGGCAGCAGUGGGGAAUAUUGCACAAUGGGCGCAAGCCUGAUGCAGCCAUGCCGCGUGAUGAAGAAGGCCUUAGGGUUUAAAGCACUUUCGUCGUGAGGAAGGUGGUAAAGCUAAUAUCGGGAUGANUUGACGUUACCGA